UACGUAGGGGGCAAGCGUUGUCCGGAUUUAUUGGGCGUAAAGAGCGUGUGAGGCGGUCCGGUAAGUCCGCUGUGAAAGUCGGGGGCUCAACCCUCGAAUGCCGGUGGAUACUGUCGGGCUAGAGUACGGAAGAGGCGAGUGGAAUUCCUGGUGUAGCGGUGAAAUGCGCAGAUAUCAGGAGGAACACCUAUUGCGAAGGCAGCUCGCUGGGACGUAACUGACGCUGAGACGCGAAAGCGUGGGGAGCAAACAGG
Molecule: ribosomal RNA, 254 nt
Filed under: uncultured bacterium
Lineage: Bacteria
Description: partial 16S ribosomal RNA
Rfam family: Bacterial small subunit ribosomal RNA
Source: RNAcentral